RNAcentral lists this ribosomal RNA (337 nucleotides) under uncultured bacterium. RNAcentral's name for it is "bacterial SSU rRNA". It matches the Rfam family "Bacterial small subunit ribosomal RNA", at positions 30 to 365 of the family's 1533-position model. The record is from RNAcentral.
AUUGAACGCUGGCGGCAGGCCUAACACAUGCAAGUCGAGCGGUAGAGAGGUGCUUGCAUCUCUUGAGAGCGGCGGACGGGUGAGUAAUGCCUAGGAAUCUGCCUAGUGGUGGGGGAUAACGUUCGGAAACGGACGCUAAUACCGCAUACGUCCUACGGGAGAAAGCGGGGGAGUCUUCGGACCUCGCGCCAUUAGAUGAGCCUAGGUCGGAUUAGCUAGUUGGUGAGGUAAUGGCUCACCAAGGCGACGAUCCGUAACUGGUCUGAGAGGAUGAUCAGUCACACUGGAACUGAGACACGGUCCAGACUCCUACGGGAGGCAGCAGUGGGGGAAUAUU